RNAcentral lists this ribosomal RNA (253 nucleotides) under uncultured bacterium. Its description in RNAcentral is "partial 16S ribosomal RNA". It matches the Rfam family "Bacterial small subunit ribosomal RNA", at positions 524 to 776 of the family's 1533-position model. The record is from RNAcentral.
UACAGAGGGUGCGAGCGUUGUCCGGAAUCACUGGGCGUAAAGGGCGCGUAGGCGGCUUGAUAAGGUUGCGGUGAAAGCCCGGGGCUCAACCCCGGGUCGGCCGUGGCAACUGUCGAGCUGGAGCACUGUAGAGGCAGGUGGAAUUCCGGGUGUAGCGGUGGAAUGCGUAGAGAUCCGGAAGAACACCCGUGGCGAAGGCGGCUCUCUGGAACGCAACUGACGCUGGGACGCGAAAGCGUGGGGAGCAAACAGG